GGAGGGUAAGCGAAUGGCUAGCAGCCUCAUUGGAAAUGAGGUGCCGGGUAACCGGUUGCGAGUUCGAGUCUCGUGCCCUCCGCC
Molecule: transfer RNA, 84 nt
Filed under: Lignipirellula cremea
Lineage: Bacteria; Pseudomonadati; Planctomycetota; Planctomycetia; Pirellulales; Pirellulaceae
Description: Planctomycetes bacterium Pla85_3_4 tRNA-Ser
Rfam family: tRNA
About the family: Transfer RNA (tRNA) molecules are approximately 80 nucleotides in length. Their secondary structure includes four short double-helical elements and three loops (D, anti-codon, and T loops).
Source: RNAcentral